UACAGAGGUGGCAAGCGUUGUUCGGAAUUACUGGGCGUAAAGGGCGCGUAGGCGGCUUUUUAAGUCAGACGUGAAAUCCCCAGGCUUAACCUGGGAACUGCGUCUGAUACUGAGAAGCUUGAGUUCGGGAGAGGGAUGUGGAAUUCCAGGUGUAGCGGUGAAAUGCGUAGAUAUCUGGAGGAACACCGGUGGCGAAGGCGGCAUCCUGGACCGAAACUGACGCUGAGGCGCGAAAGCCAGGGGAGCAAACGGGAUUAGAAAC
Molecule: ribosomal RNA, 262 nt
Filed under: uncultured bacterium
Lineage: Bacteria
Description: partial 16S ribosomal RNA
Rfam family: Bacterial small subunit ribosomal RNA
Source: RNAcentral